RNAcentral lists this ribosomal RNA (497 nucleotides) under uncultured bacterium. RNAcentral describes it as "partial 16S ribosomal RNA". It matches the Rfam family "Bacterial small subunit ribosomal RNA", at positions 28 to 507 of the family's 1533-position model. The record is from RNAcentral.
GAUGAACGCUGGCGGCGUGCCUAAUACAUGCAAGUCGAGCGAACAGAUGAGGAGCUUGCUCCUCUGACGUUAGCGGCGGACGGGUGAGUAACACGUGGAUAACCUACCUAUAAGACUGGGAUAACUUCGGGAAACCGGAGCUAAUACCGGAUAAUAUAUUGAACCGCAUGGUUCAAUAGUGAAAGACGGUUUUGCUGCCACUUAUAGAUGGAUCCGCGCCGCAUUAGCUAGUUGGUAAGGUAACGGCUUACCAAGGCGACGAUGCGUAGCCGACCUGAGAGGGUGAUCGGCCACACUGGAACUGAGACACGGUCCAGACUCCUACGGGAGGCAGCAGUAGGGAAUCUUCCGCAAUGGGCGAAAGCCUGACGGAGCAACGCCGCGUGAGUGAUGAAGGUCUUCGGAUCGUAAAACUCUGUUAUUAGGGAAGAACAAAUAUGUAAGUAACUAUGCACGUCUUGACGGUACCUAAUCAGAAAGCCACGGCUAACUACGUG